This 1451-nucleotide ribosomal RNA is filed under the name human gut metagenome. RNAcentral's name for it is "bacterial LSU rRNA". It matches the Rfam family "Bacterial large subunit ribosomal RNA", at positions 519 to 1980 of the family's 2925-position model. The record is from RNAcentral.
AAGAACCCCGGGAGGGGAGUGAAAGAGAACCUGAAACCCUAUGCUUACAAGCAGAUGGAGCACUAUUAGAGAGUGUGACAUUGUACUUUUUGUAGAACGGGCCAGCGAGUUACGAUAUGCAGCGAGGUUAAGGCGUUAAGCGCCGGAGCCGCAGGGAGACCGAGUCUUAAUAGGGCGAUAGUUGUAUGUUGUAGACCCGAAACCGGGCGACCUACCCAUGAGCAGGUUGAAGCGGUGGUAAGACACCGUGGAGGACCGAACCACACGCACGUUGAAAAGUGCGGGGAUGACUUGUGGGUAGCGGAGAAAUUCCAAUCGAGCUCGGAGAUAGCUGGUUCUCCUCGAAAUAGCUUUAGGGCUAGCCUCACUUGAAGAUAUAUGGGGGUAGAGCACUGAAUGGGCUAGGGGGUCUCAAAGCUUACCGAACCUUAUCAAACUACGAAUACCAUAUAUUACCUAAGUGGGAGUCAGACGGCGUGAGAUAAGUUUCGUCGUCAAAAGGGAAAGAGCCCAGAUCAUCAGCUAAGGCCCCAAAGUGCAGGUUAAGUGGAAAAGGAUGUGGGACUGCAUAGACAACUAGGAUGUUGGCUUAGAAGCAGCCACUCAUUUAAAGAGUGCGUAAUAGCUCACUAGUCGAGUGGUCCUGCGCCGAAAAUGUCCGGGGCUAAAACCUGCCGCCGAAGCUAUGGGUGCACGUAAGUGCGCGGUAGAGGAGCAUCGUGUAUUGGCAGAAGCGAUACCGAGAGGAGUCGUGGACGAUACAGGAGAGAGAAUGCUGGCAUGAGUAGCGAGAGGGAGGUGAGAAUCCUCCCCAUCGAAAGCCUAAGGUUUCCUGGGGAAGGCUCGUCCACCCAGGGUAAGUCGGGACCUAAGCCGAGGACUAGAUGGUCGUAGGCGAUGGACAACAGGUUGAUAUUCCUGUACUACCUUUAGCGUUAAAACGAGGCAGUGACACAGGAGGAUAGGCAGAGCGGGUUGAUGGUAGAACCCGUCCAAGCAUUUAGGGAGACAGAGUAGUGAAGUACGCUUUGUUGAUAAUUCUGAGAUGUGAUGGGGACAGAAAAUAAGUAUGGAAGCUGCUGAAUCCACACUGGCGAGAAAAGCUGCUAGGAGCGAAGAGGUACCCGUACCGCAAACCGACACAGGUAGGCGAGGAGAGAAUCCUAAGAUGAGCGAGAUAACCAUUGUUAAGGAACUCGGCAAAAUGACCCCGUAACUUAGGGAGAAGGGGUGCCUAGAAAUAGGUCGCAGAGAAUAGGUCCAAGCGACUGUUUAGCAAAAACACAGGUCUGUGCGAAAUCGAGAGAUGAAGUAUACGGGCUGACGCCUGCCCAGUGCCGGAAGGUUAAGGGGAAAUGUUAGUCGAAAGGCGAAGCAUGGAACUUAAGCCCCGGUGAACGGCGGCCGUAACUAUAACGGUCCUAAGGUAGCGAAAUUCCUUGUCGGGUAAG